GACAGAGGUGGCGAGCGUUGUUCGGAAUUACUGGGCUUAAAGGGCGAGUAGGCGGUAAGGCAAGUCUGAGGUGGAAGCCUAUGGCUUAACCAUAGAACGGCCUCGGAAACUGUUUUACUUGAGUCAGUGAGGGGAGGGCGGAAUUCCUGGUGUAGCGGUGAAAUGCGUAGAUAUCAGGAGGAAGGCCUGUGGCGAAGGCGGCCCUCUGGCGCUGAACUGACGCUGAGGCGCGAAAGCGUGGGGAG
Molecule: ribosomal RNA, 245 nt
Filed under: uncultured bacterium
Lineage: Bacteria
Description: partial 16S ribosomal RNA
Rfam family: Bacterial small subunit ribosomal RNA
Source: RNAcentral